Molecule: long non-coding RNA, 437 nt
Filed under: Homo sapiens (human)
Lineage: Eukaryota; Metazoa; Chordata; Mammalia; Primates; Hominidae
Description: HSALNT0339093
Source: RNAcentral
CAAAGACCUUCCGCACCAAGACCUCGUUUCUGGCAGUCAUGUCUCCUCUGAAAUAGGUGGCAGUUCACUUUCACAAUUUUUAAACUGGUCAGAGACACGGCCGCAAGCCCCUCCUGUCCACAUGCCCAGAGUUUAGAGACACCAAGGUCUCAGCAUCACCUAGAACCUCUGAGAAGUCAUCUCUUGAUCCCCUUGACACCAGGACUUCAGAGAUGCCCGGUUUCAAAAGAAGACAAGCAAGGGGGAUUCCUCAGUCAACACCCAUUUUCCCCUCUCUCCCUUGCCCACCGAAAGUGAUUUAUAAGCACAGCAGAAAUCAAAACAAACAAGCCAUGCUUGGAAAACGAGGAUCCACAUGUGUAAAUAAACGGGAACUACAGCUCAAAGGCAGUCAUACACUUGUCAUUCUUGUUUCUUCCUCUCAUGACAUGGAAAGG